AGAUGCGGUGAAUACCUUGAGGGUUCAGAGUUCGAAGCCCACCUGUGUCACCUGCGGUUCUUCCCCACACACCUGACGUGGCCGGCCGGCGUCCACGCACCUUGCCAUCGUGUCUUACAACGUCUUAAGAUUCCUCGGUAUUUUCUAAGACAUAAUAAGAACAGCCGUCAUACAACUGUACUCACGAGGUGAUUUUCAAGACGACUGUUUUUGUCUUACGAAGAAGAAACCGUCAGGUCACCUGUGGGCGGUACCUUUUAAGUCUCCCAGCUGUUCAGAAAAAAUCCUCAGUAGUUCUUGAGCAGCAGAACAAAUCACUCCUACAGAAGAUGGUAGAUCUGAGUGGUUCGGGUCCAGACGCACCGUUAGAACACGCCUUCGACAACAGGCUGUUCAUUAUACCUGCUGCCAUCAUCAUGCUCAUCAUAGGUUUUGCCGGCUACAAGCUCUACACCUCAGUCUCUUCGAGAGAGCGGGCGCGGGAGGAGAAACGUCAGCGCCGCAAGGAACGGAAGGAUGUCAAGACGACGGACAAGAAGAAGAAAUAACCUGCAGCAUUGCCAUAGUUACCCGUGGAGUUGCCAUGGCUACCACCACAUUCCGAGGGGGUUUGUCUGUGUCCGAGGUCAUCUGAGGUCAUCGGGGCUGCUGCAGCGUUCUUUUUGCUGGACAUGAAGAAUUCUGAGUAGACGGUGAAAUGUCUACCCUGGAGGCAAAGUACUGUAAAUGCAGAAAUGCUCGCGGUUUUCGCUGUGGCCACUUCACCGUGAAUUUAAAACCACCGCGAACAUUUUUCCAUGGCAGGGAAGAGACUACAGUGCAUGGUGCUACCGCAAACUUAAAACCACCGUGAAAAGUCAUUUUUCUGCUACCGCGAAAUUGAAUUCCCGCGAACUUAAAUGCAUUUGCAGUGCUGUAUGGUUUCAGACACACUACCAAGCCACAAGUUCGUUGGUCUCUUAGUCAGACAAGAGGGGCAAACUGGCUAAGUCUAGAAUUUGGCUUGAAUUUGAACGUCUCUAAUUGUACAAGCUAAAAUUUCUUGCAUAUUCAUCAGAGAAGAGACAUGAAAGUGAACUGCAUCUACAGGUAGGAUAGACUAGGAAACAGUUUUACCUGGUUUACCAUUUCUCAAAGUCUCAGUUUUGAUUAUAGAUUGGGUAAAGGAAAAAUGCAGUUCACAUCAAAUUCAGUAGAUGGCAUUUCUGCUUAAGGACUCUUGCACUAAGACUCCAUCAGUAGCAGGUCAACAACAUGGGGUUAAAGAACUUGUGGCCCAAGUAGAGACUCUAAAUCUGUGUGGGGUUCUUUGCCUUCUAGGGUAUGAAAUAUCGUGGUAACUUAUAAUGCAGUCCACCUGUACAAUUUGUGAUACAGACCACUGCCCUGGGCAGAGUUAGGUGCUCUUAUUUUUCAGAAGCAUAAUUUUGAAAAAGAAGCAACUCGUGCAAAGAAAUAUUGAUUACACCACACUGACAACAAAUUGCUUUUUUUGUGAAAUUUACAGCUGCUCAAGAGUUUGUCGAGACAAAAAUUAGUCUGAUUUUAUCUUUACUAUCGGGUUAAUCAAUUCAACAGUUUUUUGCUCACAUAGUUUUUGUGGUGACCACUGACUUCACAGCAAAGUUGGAACCAUCGUUAACAUUUUUCCAUUAUGAUACAAGGCUGCUGUCUAUGGUACUACCACAAACUUAAAACCACCGCGAAUACUCCAUUUUCCCGCUAUCGUGAAAGUAAAUCCCUGCAAACUCAAAUGUAUUUACAGUAGUAUUAUAAAACUGGAGGGACCGGGUUUGAAUUCCACCUACUAGCCUCUCUUGUUUUUCACAAGCACUGUCUUUGAAGAGUUGUUCUGAGUGCUUCGUGGGAUGCACAGGGAAUACAACUCUGUCACCUGUUUUUGCAAAAUUUUCAUAAAAACUUGCAAUUUUAAAAAACUAAUGCAGAGCACCUAAUCCUGCCUGGAAUGUAGUUAAUUUUACGAUUGAGAGUAAGUUAUGCUAAGAUACAAAAAAGUCAAUGUUUUCAUUCUCAUAUAAGUAUGAAUGUCAGCGAAAUGUGCAAUCUGAAUUGAAGGACAGACAUUUUAGUAAGCUUUAAGGCUUUGAAUAUGUUUGAAUAGAUUUUAUCAGUUUUAGCAACUAUUCUGUUUAUUAGAACCAGCUGUAUUCGUAUUAACAGUAGAAGUAAUAUGACAUCUAAUCUUAUGGAAAAACUAGACUCUAACUAACCAACACUACAAAUAAGUUGGGAAUUACCACAAAUUUUUGGAUGACUCCGUCAGCCUUGUUCACGGAAUGGACCCAUCUACUGUAACUUUAAGAUUGUGACGUCGUAGACAUUAUUACUGCAGCAGAGGGUUGUAAUGCGGUACCGUAAAUGCUAGAUAAGCUAUGUCGCCCCCCGUCUCGGUGGUCAAGGAUGUACACAGCCUUCUUCACUGCUUUUGCAAAGAAUUCCGGCUCUGUAUCGACAUAGGUCCCAACUCUUUUGUAGUGUUGGUCAGUUAAAGUUUGAUUUUUCCAUAAUGUCAUUUGCCAACACAGAUGAACUUUCAUGCUAAGAUCUGUGAUCUUGUUUAUGAUAAAGUAUGUAUAAUGUGCCACUCCUAACUUGCAGUGCCAUAUUAAUGUAGAUGCAAAUUAUGGGGUCAGGAAAAUCACAUGAAAAGCAGGUAUAAUGUAAUUUUUAAUAUCCUAAUGCCUACAUUGUUCUGGUUGUUCAGUCCACAGGUUUUAGCAGUUAUAAGUCUUGUAAACGAUAUCGUCUGUAUUAUUUUAACAAAUUAACAUCACGGAUAUGUUGAAAUUUAAGUUAUACUGAUAGAUAUGUCAGAUUUUACAUAAUGUGAGGAAAAUGUUUGGUUGUCAGAUACUCUACAUGACUUGCUGUGAUAUGUUACUACCCACUAGUUUGAUUUUUAAAGAAGUAAAAGGAAUUUUUCCUCUAACAAUGGCAAGACCUUUUAUCUAAAAAAACUGAUUCAAAAUUGUUCUUUUUUUUCUCUAUCUCAAGAUCUUUCUCAUUUAAUCAUCAAACAAUUGUGUUUUUCCUUUGCCUUUUUUUUUUAAUUUCCUCUUUCACUACUUUUCCCCAAACUUUUUUUUUUCCUUUUGGACUGGUCCGAAAAAACUGGGCCUGAAAAAAUUGAAUUUUGGACCGAUCAGAAAAUAAACACACUAUAUUGGCUGGUGUCUUGGGGAUUUACCAUACAAGAAAAAGUGAAGAGCGACGUAGAGUAGAAUUUAUAUAGUUUCAACAGACAAACCUACAGGGGUGGAGUUAGUCUUGUGUAGGGAGUCGGAUAGUCCACCUAAUACUGUAAAUGCAGAAAUGUUCGCGGUGGAUUAAUGUUCACGGUUUUUGCGGUGACCACUUCACCACGAACUUAAAACCAUCGCGAAAAGUCCUUUUUCACACUACCGCAAAAUUAAAUCCCCGUGAACUUUAAUAAAUUUGCAGUAUCUUCAUUGAUUUUGUACAGAAAAAGAUGGUCGUCUUGAGUAUGGCCAAUUCACAAGUUUUCAAAAUCAGGUAUGGACCUGAACCUGACAUCCACCUGAAUUUUCUGUACCCCUAUAUUAAAUAAAUGACUUCACAAUACUACCUUAUACACUUAAAGCCUGCUGCCAAAGUAUCUCUAUGUUUGGUACCAAAAUUUGCAUCAAAUAUUGGAAAGGCAGCAGGGAGAACAUAACGCUAUUGCUGUAUCAUUUCUGUAAGCCCUGAUGUAUCCUUACUUUAGACAACAGCAACAACAACGAUGUAUAGGAAAUCCCCAUGUCUUAAUUGUCAGAAUUGUUAUUCAGCAUUGUUAUGUGGGGUGUUUGGCAGCUACAUGUAUUGAUGAAAACAAUGAAUAGUUUUACAUAA
Branchiostoma floridae (Florida lancelet) is the source of this 3873-nucleotide long non-coding RNA. RefSeq lists it as uncharacterized. The record is from RefSeq and is a predicted model, not a curated record. NCBI's taxonomy places the organism in Eukaryota, Metazoa, Chordata, Leptocardii, Amphioxiformes, Branchiostomatidae. The transcript is spliced from 3 exons.